CACGAUAAGAGCAAACCAUUCGAAAGAAUGGGACGCAGAGCUACAAACCCUUUUACAAUGAGGGUGGUUGGGCCGCCGAAU
This 81-nucleotide non-coding RNA is filed under the name Candidatus Schekmaniibacteriota. RNAcentral's name for it is "Candidatus Schekmanbacteria c-di-GMP sequence". It matches the Rfam family "c-di-GMP-I riboswitch aptamer". From Rfam's summary of the family: GEMM was predicted in a large-scale screen for bacterial structured RNA regulatory elements. Genes associated with GEMM are involved in a diverse array of functions, including chemotaxis regulation, signal transduction, secretion and chitin. The record is from RNAcentral.